Molecule: ribosomal RNA, 1724 nt
Filed under: Escherichia coli
Lineage: Bacteria; Pseudomonadati; Pseudomonadota; Gammaproteobacteria; Enterobacterales; Enterobacteriaceae
Also listed under: 1 other name
Description: partial 23S ribosomal RNA
Rfam family: Bacterial large subunit ribosomal RNA
Source: RNAcentral
UGUUGGGUAGGGGAGCGUUCUGUAAGCCUGCGAAGGUGUGCUGUGAGGCAUGCUGGAGGUAUCAGAAGUGCGAAUGCUGACAUAAGUAACGAUAAAGCGGGUGAAAAGCCCGCUCGCCGGAAGACCAAGGGUUCCUGUCCAACGUUAAUCGGGGCAGGGUGAGUCGACCCCUAAGGCGAGGCCGAAAGGCGUAGUCGAUGGGAAACAGGUUAAUAUUCCUGUACUUGGUGUUACUGCGAAGGGGGGACGGAGAAGGCUAUGUUGGCCGGGCGACGGUUGUCCCGGUUUAAGCGUGUAGGCUGGUUUUCCAGGCAAAUCCGGAAAAUCAAGGCUGAGGCGUGAUGACGAGGCACUACGGUGCUGAAGCAACAAAUGCCCUGCUUCCAGGAAAAGCCUCUAAGCAUCAGGUAACAUCAAAUCGUACCCCAAACCGACACAGGUGGUCAGGUAGAGAAUACCAAGGCGCUUGAGAGAACUCGGGUGAAGGAACUAGGCAAAAUGGUGCCGUAACUUCGGGAGAAGGCACGCUGAUAUGUAGGUGAAGUCCCUUGCGGAUGGAGCUGAAAUCAGUCGAAGAUACCAGCUGGCUGCAACUGUUUAUUAAAAACACAGCACUGUGCAAACACGAAAGUGGACGUAUACGGUGUGACGCCUGCCCGGUGCCGGAAGGUUAAUUGAUGGGGUCAGCGCAAGCGAAGCUCUUGAUCGAAGCCCCGGUAAACGGCGGCCGUAACUAUAACGGUCCUAAGGUAGCGAAAUUCCUUGUCGGGUAAGUUCCGACCUGCACGAAUGGCGUAAUGAUGGCCAGGCUGUCUCCACCCGAGACUCAGUGAAAUUGAACUCGCUGUGAAGAUGCAGUGUACCCGCGGCAAGACGGAAAGACCCCGUGAACCUUUACUAUAGCUUGACACUGAACAUUGAGCCUUGAUGUGUAGGAUAGGUGGGAGGCUUUGAAGUGUGGACGCCAGUCUGCAUGGAGCCGGCCUUGAAAUACCACCCUUUAAUGUUUGAUGUUCUAACGUGGACCCGUGAUCCGGGUUGCGGACAGUGUCUGGUGGGUAGUUUGACUGGGGCGGUCUCCUCCUAAAGAGUAACGGAGGAGCACGAAGGUUGGCUAAUCCUGGUCGGACAUCAGGAGGUUAGUGCAAUGGCAUAAGCCAGCUUGACUGCGAGCGUGACGGCGCGAGCAGGUGCGAAAGCAGGUCAUAGUGAUCCGGUGGUUCUGAAUGGAAGGGCCAUCGCUCAACGGAUAAAAGGUACUCCGGGGAUAACAGGCUGAUACCGCCCAAGAGUUCAUAUCGACGGCGGUGUUUGGCACCUCGAUGUCGGCUCAUCACAUCCUGGGGCUGAAGUAGGUCCCAAGGGUAUGGCUGUUCGCCAUUUAAAGUGGUACGCGAGCUGGGUUUAGAACGUCGUGAGACAGUUCGGUCCCUAUCUGCCGUGGGCGCUGGAGAACUGAGGGGGGCUGCUCCUAGUACGAGAGGACCGGAGUGGACGCAUCACUGGUGUUCGGGUUGUCAUGCCAAUGGCACUGCCCGGUAGCUAAAUGCGGAAGAGAUAAGUGCUGAAAGCAUCUAAGCACGAAACUUGCCCCGAGAUGAGUUCUCCCUGACCCUUUAAGGGUCCUGAAGGAACGUUGAAGACGACGACGUUGAUAGGCCGGGUGUGUAAGCGCAGCGAUGCGUUGAGCUAACCGGUACUAAUGAACCGUGAGGCUUAACCUU